GACCAAAGGCUGCGCGAAGAGGCGGUGCAGGCGUCAUUGCCGCUGCCGCCAAGCGGACUCUGCAAUCGCUUUUGGCGGCGACCAUGGCGGUGGCUGUGACUGGAAACUUCUGGAAAUGGCGGCGGCGACGAAGAGGCCCACAUGAUGAUGAUAUUUGUAAUAAAAUGUGGCAAAAUCUAACACUGAUGGCAGAACACUGGAUCAAACCAAGCAUGGGACUGGCAAAGAGUUAAACAAUUCAAAGAAGGCAAGCCAUGAAAGAGAAGACAGUAAACAGAGUAAAAAUUACAUAUUUAACUUUCCCCUAGGUCCAAAUAAUAUUUCAU
Long non-coding RNA from Carlito syrichta (Philippine tarsier), 326 nucleotides. RefSeq lists it as uncharacterized. The transcript has 3 exons. NCBI's taxonomy places the organism in Eukaryota, Metazoa, Chordata, Mammalia, Primates, Tarsiidae. The record is from RefSeq and is a predicted model, not a curated record.